Molecule: ribosomal RNA, 301 nt
Filed under: uncultured bacterium
Lineage: Bacteria
Description: partial 16S ribosomal RNA
Rfam family: Bacterial small subunit ribosomal RNA
Source: RNAcentral
CAGUCGCCGCGGUAAUACGUAGGGUGCAAGCGUUAAUCGGAAUUACUGGGCGUAAAGCGUGCGCAGGCGGUUAUAUAAGACAGAUGUGAAAUCCCCGGGCUCAACCUGGGAACUGCAUUUGUGACUGUAUAGCUAGAGUACGGCAGAGGGGGAUGGAAUUCCGCGUGUAGCAGUGAAAUGCGUAGAUAUGCGGAGGAACACCUAUGGCGAAGGCAAUCCCCUGGGCCUGUACUGACGCUCAUGCACGAAAGCGUGGGGAGCAAACAGGAUUAGAGACCCCAGUAGUCCCUGUCUCUUAUAC